GCCAGUGUGGUGUAGUGAUCUGAGUAUCGGACUAGGACUCUGGAGACCAGGGUUUGAAUCCCCGCUCAGCCA
This is a non-coding RNA of Phrynosoma platyrhinos (Desert horned lizard), 72 nucleotides long. Lineage: Eukaryota; Metazoa; Chordata; Lepidosauria; Squamata; Phrynosomatidae. The record is from the annotation of a GenBank genome assembly.